This 428-nucleotide ribosomal RNA is filed under the name Bacteroidota bacterium. RNAcentral describes it as "Bacteroidetes bacterium partial 16S ribosomal RNA". It matches the Rfam family "Bacterial small subunit ribosomal RNA", at positions 355 to 776 of the family's 1533-position model. The record is from RNAcentral. Lineage: Bacteria; Pseudomonadati; Bacteroidota.
UAGGGAAUCUUCCGCAAUGGACGCAAGUCUGACGGAGCAACGCCGCGUGAGUGAAGAAGGAUUUCGGUUCGUAAAACUCUGUUGUUAGAGAAGAACAGCGCAUAGAGUAACUGUUAUGCGUGUGACGGUAUCUAACCAGAAAGCCACGGCUAACUACGUGCCAGCAGCCGCGGUAAUACGUAGGUGGCAAGCGUUGUCCGGAUUUAUUGGGCGUAAAGCGAGCGCAGGCGGUUAGAUAAGUCUGAAGUUAAAGGCAGUGGCUCAACCGGUAUAGGCUUUGGAAACUGUUUAACUUGAGUGCAGAAGGGGAGAGUGGAAUUCCAUGUGUAGCGGUGAAAUGCGUAGAUAUAUGGAGGAACACCGGUGGCGAAAGCGGCUCUCUGGUCUGUAACUGACGCUGAGGCUCGAAAGCGUGGGGAGCGAACAGG